RNAcentral lists this long non-coding RNA (437 nucleotides) under Numida meleagris (helmeted guineafowl). Its description in RNAcentral is "lncRNA (ENSNMEG00000006616.1)". Lineage: Eukaryota; Metazoa; Chordata; Aves; Galliformes; Numididae. The record is from RNAcentral.
AUAAAGCCAAAGCACUGAGGUGUACUUAAGCACCAGGACCCAGCAACAAAAGCCAAAGGCCUGACAUCAGAAUGAAGAGGAAGGGAGGGAAAGGAUCAGUGGUUUGAUCUCAAAGGAGAAGAUACAAAUAUUCUGGCUGCUGUAGGGCACUACAGCACUUCUCCCCUGUUCGGUAGCUUCCUACUAUCAGCUGCCAAACUGAUCGGUCAUGCCUGGACUGGAGGCACAGAAAUUCUGUGCCAUGGCCCUGGGAAGCACUGAGCAUCCCCUGCCCUAUGGAGGGAGCAGAGGAGAUGGAGAAAACCAGAGAGAGAGAAUCUGUUGGCAGCAUCCUGGAUAGACUUGUUUCUUGUUAUUGUAGCAUCCAGUACAUUCUGAAUGAGUGAAUCUGAAGCUCCAAGCCAUCUAAUGGCCAUUUCACCCUUAAUUUCAAGGUG